GAGAGAGACAUGCGCGCAUAUCAAUAAGCGGAGGAAAAGAAACUAACAAGGAUUCCCUUAGUAACGGCGAGUGAAGCGGGAAGAGCUCAAAUUUGAAAUCUUCAAGGUUUUACCUUGACGAAUUGUAGUUUAAAGAAGUGUUUUCUGCUGAAGUUUUGGUAAAAGUUCUUUGGAAUAGGACAUCAUAGAGGGUGAGAAUCCCGUAUUUGACCAUUAUUUUCAGCUUUGUGAUACACUUUCAAAGAGUUGGAUUGUUUGGGAAUGCAGUCCAAAAUGGGUGGUAAAUUUCAUCUAAAGCUAAAUAUUGGCGAGAGACCGAUAGCGAACAAGUACCGUGAGGGAAAGAUGAAAAGAACUUUGAAAAGAGAGUUAAACAGUACGUGAAAUUGUCAAAAGGGAAGCGUUUGACACCAGUGUUGUUUUCUCGAAAAUCAAUUAAAAAUGGCUCGAUUUUGUAUUGCUUGAGACCUUAAAAGCUCACUGUACAUUUUUCGUGUCUUUUUUAAUGCACUUUUCGUUUAACAAGUCAACAUCAGUUUCUUUUGUUGUAAAAGGGUCAUUGGAAGGUGGCUUUCUUUUCGGAGAAAGUGUUUAUAGCCUUUGGCCUCUGCAAUCGAAGAGACUGAGGUCUGCAGCGUAGACUCUUCGGGGUUAGAUACAUUUGUGCUAAGUUAUAGCUUUUUAUAGACAACUUGUUGACUAUAAUUAGUCUUGUAGCUUACUCGCUUAUGCCUAUUUUACCUACGCUUAGGAUGUUGAGUCGUAGAGCACGCAG
RNAcentral lists this ribosomal RNA (775 nucleotides) under uncultured Neocallimastigales. RNAcentral's name for it is "partial large subunit ribosomal RNA". It matches the Rfam family "Eukaryotic large subunit ribosomal RNA", at positions 23 to 626 of the family's 3401-position model. The record is from RNAcentral. Lineage: Eukaryota; Fungi; Neocallimastigomycota; Neocallimastigomycetes; Neocallimastigales.